UGAUAAUCAAGUUUUAUCAGUUGGAGCAGAGCCACUACUUAGUCGCUUUGACCUGAAUGGAGGUAUUAUUUCACAGAUACCAUGUGCUCCUCAGUCAUUGUUUUCCAUUUCUGCACAUCCUUCAGGGGUCACAGCAGUAGCUGGUUACGGAGGAAUAGUGGAUAUUGUAUCACAAUUUGGUAGUCAUUUGAGCACAUUCCAGUGCCGAGGAGUUCAGAAGGGACUGCCAAUGCAGCUAAUUUAACUUGGGGACAUUUUUAGAUGAAUCAGUCAAGACAGGAAACAAUUGCCUGCAAAGAAACUUGUCAGUGAGAUGUUAUGGUUAAGGAAAACCAACUUUUUUUUCUGAAAAAAACUUGGUCACCAUUUACUUGCAGCAAGCUAUAUGAGUUUCACUCUAAAAAAAGAACGAAAUUUUG
RNAcentral lists this unclassified non-coding RNA (419 nucleotides) under Hevea brasiliensis (rubber tree). The record is from RNAcentral. Lineage: Eukaryota; Viridiplantae; Streptophyta; Magnoliopsida; Malpighiales; Euphorbiaceae.